CACCCCAAAACUAGCCUAUAAGAAAAAAUCAACUAACCCCUAUCCAUAACCCCUCAUACACCACUAACUAAUAAUCAAAUCAUUCUUCCCCCUAAGUACGGGAGACAGAAAAGGAAAAAAGAGCUAUAGAAAAAGUACCGUAAGGGAACGAUGAAAGAGAAUUGAAACAACUCAUUCAAGUACAUAAAAGCAGAGAUUUAACCUCGUACCUUUUGCAUCAUGGUUUAGCAAGUAUACCCAAGCAAAGAGAACUUAAGUUUGAACACCCGAAAUCAAGUGAGCUACUCCGAGACAGCCUAAUGGGCCAACCCGUAUCUGUGGCAAAAGAUUGGGAAGAGCUCUGAGUAGAGGUGAAAAACCUACCGAACUAGAUUAUAGCUGGUUGCCUGAGAAAUGGAUAAGAGUUCAGCCUACUUACAAACCAAAUCAACAAAUUAUAACUAAGCAGAGUAUGUUAAGUAAGUAGAGUUAGUCAGAAGGGGUACAGCUCUUCUGACCAAAGACACAACUUUUUAAGCAGGAUAAGGAUCAUAUUAUAUUAAAGGUUAAUGCCCCAGUGGGCCUAAGAGCAGCCACCUGAAAAGAAAGCGUUAAAGCUUAAGCAAAUUAACCCCUAAAAUUAGGAUAUUAUUUCCUAAUCCUCUACAAAUAUCAGGCCAUCCCACCUUUAAGGGAGAGAUAAUGCUAAAAUGAGUAAUAAGAAGGAUAAGACCUUCUCCAACCACAAGUGUAAACCGAAACGAACCCGCACCGAUAAUUAACGGGCCCAAAACCAGAGGGUAAUGAUUGAACCACACAAGAAAACCCAUCAACCACACUCCGUUAACCUUACACUAGGGUGGCUUUAAGGAAAGAAUUAAAGGAGAAGAAGGAACUCGGCAAACAUUACUAGCCUCGCCUGUUUACCAAAAACAUCGCCUCUUGACUAUCACUAAUAAGAGGUCCCGCCUGCCCCGUGACUAUAAGUUUAACGGCCGCGGUAUUUUGACCGUGCAAAGGUAGCGCAAUCACUUGUCUUUUAAAUAAAGACCUGUAUGAAUGGCACGACGAGGGCUCAACUGUCUCCUUCCCCAUAUCAAUGAAAUUGAUCCCCCCGUGCAGAAGCGGGCAUAACAACAUAAGACGAGAAGACCCUGUGGAGCUUUAAAUGACUGAAUAACUUACAUAAAAACCUUUAGAUAAACCAGCAAACUAAGUUAAACCUUAUUCAAAUAUUUUUGGUUGGGGUGACCACGGGGUAAAAUCCAACCCCCGCGAGGACUGAGGAUAAAAUCCUCAAAACUAAGAGCACCAGCUCUAAGUAUUAAUAAAAUUAACCUAUAGAUCCGGAUAGGCCGAUCAACGGACCGAGUUACCCCAGGGAUAACAGCGCAAUCCUCUUACAGAGCCCAUAUCGCCAAGAGGGUUUACGACCUCGAUGUUGGAUCAGGACAUCCUAAUGGUGUAACCGCUAUUAAGGGUUCGUUUGUUCAACGAUUAAAGUCCUACGUGAUCUGAGUUCAGACCGGAGUAAUCCAGGUCAGUUUCUAUCUAAUGAUAUGAUCUCCUUUAGUACGAAAGGACCAAGGAGAUGAGGCCAAUGCAAAAUGUAAGCCUCGCCCCCACCUAUUGAAGUAAUCUCAAAUAGGUAGGGGGCCUAAUCAUUACCCGAAAAUAACGGUU
Molecule: ribosomal RNA, 1662 nt
Filed under: Syngnathoides biaculeatus (alligator pipefish)
Lineage: Eukaryota; Metazoa; Chordata; Actinopteri; Syngnathiformes; Syngnathidae
Description: 16S ribosomal RNA
Rfam family: Bacterial large subunit ribosomal RNA
Source: RNAcentral